This 1015-nucleotide long non-coding RNA is filed under the name Gossypium barbadense (sea-island cotton). RNAcentral's name for it is "long non-coding RNA (GBAR_LNC019294)". The record is from RNAcentral. Lineage: Eukaryota; Viridiplantae; Streptophyta; Magnoliopsida; Malvales; Malvaceae.
UUUACCACCAAUUAAGAUGGAUUAGUUACAUAUGAAACUCAGAGAAACAGAGGUGAACAUGUAAACUGAAUGAAAACACUUAAACAACUGAUUCUUUGAAUUUCAGGAAGAAUAAAACAAGACAUUAAUGAGAUUGGUAAGGUACUAACACCCACAACAUAAGAUCCAUGGGCAAUAGAAAUAUUAUAGACGGUAUUAAACUAUUCCAGGUACCAUAAAAUAGAAAUAGGAGUCAUUUCUUACCGCAAACCAGCUACAGUAGCUCAUAAGUUCAUCCGUAUCAAGAAACUUGCUUCUAAAUGCACUACCUUCCAAGGCCACAGGAACAAGUUUAAGUUCUAUAGGCCGCAGAAGAGCAGUCUUCUCAGCAACUUAAAGAAAUAGAAGGACCAUGAUUUAAGAGCAUAUUGGCAGACACAACUUAAGUUUAAAAAAAAAACCAUUAACAACAACAACUUGAAUGGUGUUGAGUCGAGUUUGAGCUAUUGAGCAGAUCAAAUUCGAGUACUUUAAUGCUUGAUUAGAGUAUCACACGAGUUUGAUUGAGGUCUUUUUACCUUUUAACUAUACUGGAAAAUCUCAUUCAAACUGGAGCUUAAGCUCGGGAAUAAAUAAUAAAAUUGAAAACCGACCUGAACCGAGAUAUUUGGACAGUAUAGAAUGCAAGUUCAAAAACCAUGGUUACACAAAACCAAACCAAGUUCAGAAACAACCAGCAUAUAAGCAAAUCAACUAAAUCUUGCAUUGCAAUAAAGCAUGUUUUCUAUUUAACAAAGAAGAUUAAGUUAAUAUGUCACAGAAACUUACUUCAAGAUGUAAGAUUACUACUAGAAGCUUACAUGGCAAUUUGCUAACUAGAAUGCGAGCUUUCUCUGUACGUUUCAGAUUUUUGUGCACUCCUCUUCCUGCACUAUACCGGUUCUAAUCCUGUAUAAAAGAAAAAUAAUAAAAAUAAAAUUGCAUAUAAGAAAAAUGAAAUUAUAGCUCCAAAGUCCAAAAUAGACAUCAAUAAUUU